RNAcentral lists this ribosomal RNA (433 nucleotides) under uncultured soil bacterium. Its description in RNAcentral is "bacterial SSU rRNA". It matches the Rfam family "Bacterial small subunit ribosomal RNA", at positions 35 to 451 of the family's 1533-position model. The record is from RNAcentral.
GCUGGCGGCGUACUUAACACAUGCAAGUCGAACGGGGAUCAGUUGUGUAGCAAUACAUUUCUGGUCCUAGUGGCGCACGGGUGAGUAACACGUGGGUAACCUGCCCUUGAGUUCGGGAUACCCCCUCGAAAGGGGGGCUAAUACCGGAUACGUUCCUCGGAUCGACAGGUCUGGGGAGGAAAGGUGGCGCAAGCUGCCGCUCUUGGAGGGGCUCGCGGCCUAUCAGCUAGUUGGCGGGGUAACGGCCCACCAAGGCUAUGACGGGUAGCUGGUCUGAGAGGACGACCAGUCACACGGGGACUGAGACACGGCCCCGACUCCUACGGGAGGCAGCAGUGGGGAAUUUUCCGCAAUGGGCGAAAGCCUGACGGAGUGACGCCGCGUGUGGGACGAAGGCCUUCGGGUCGUAAACCACUGUCAGUGGGAAAGAAGG